This 481-nucleotide ribosomal RNA is filed under the name uncultured Archaeospora. RNAcentral's name for it is "SSU rRNA". It matches the Rfam family "Eukaryotic small subunit ribosomal RNA", at positions 569 to 1057 of the family's 1831-position model. Lineage: Eukaryota; Fungi; Glomeromycota; Glomeromycetes; Archaeosporales; Archaeosporaceae. The record is from RNAcentral.
AGCAGCCGCGGUAAUUCCAGCUCCAAUAGCGUAUAUUAAAGUUGUUGCAGUUAAAAAGCUCGUAGUUGAAUUUUAGGCCUGACCGGACGGUCCGUCUCUGGCGAGUACUGUUCUGCUGUCGGGUCUAUCCUUCUGGUGAGCCGGUAUGCCCUUUAUUGGGUGUGUCGGGGAACCAGGACCAUUACCUUGAAAAAUUAGAGUGUUUAAAGCGGGCUUUUGCUUGAAUAGAUUAGCAUGGAAUAAUAGAAUAGGACGUUGGUUCUAUUUUGUUGGUCUAGGACCACCGUAAUGAUUAAUAGGGAUAGUUGGGGGCAUUAGUAUUCAAUUGUCAGAGGUGAAAUUCUUGGAUUUAUUGAAGACUAACUACUGCGAAAGCAUUUGCCAAGGAUGUUUUCAUUAAUCAAGAACGAAAGUUAGGGGAUCGAAGACGAUCAGAUACCGUCGUAGUCUUAACCAUAAACUAUGCCGACUAGGAAUCGGG